This 1021-nucleotide ribosomal RNA is filed under the name Salmonella enterica. RNAcentral's name for it is "partial 23S ribosomal RNA". It matches the Rfam family "Bacterial large subunit ribosomal RNA", at positions 522 to 1547 of the family's 2925-position model. The record is from RNAcentral. Lineage: Bacteria; Pseudomonadati; Pseudomonadota; Gammaproteobacteria; Enterobacterales; Enterobacteriaceae.
AACCCCGGCGAGGGGAGUGAAAAAGAACCUGAAACCGUGUACGUACAAGCAGUGGGAGCACCCUUUGGGGUGUGACUGCGUACCUUUUGUAUAAUGGGUCAGCGACUUAUAUUCUGUAGCAAGGUUAACCGAAUAGGGGAGCCGGAGGGAAACCGAGUCUUAAUUGGGCGUUAAGUUGCAGGGUAUAGACCCGAAACCCGGUGAUCUAGCCAUGGGCAGGUUGAAGGUUGGGUAACACUAACUGGAGGACCGAACCGACUAAUGUUGAAAAAUUAGCGGAUGACCUGUGGCUGGGGGUGAAAGGCCAAUCAAACCGGGAGAUAGCUGGUUCUCCCCGAAAGCUAUUUAGGUAGCGCCUCGUGAAUUCAUCUCCGGGGGUAGAGCACUGUUUCGGCUAGGGGGCCAUCCCGGCUUACCAACCCGAUGCAAACUGCGAAUACCGGAGAAUGUUAUCACGGGAGACACACGGCGGGUGCUAACGUCCGUCGUGAAGAGGGAAACAACCCAGACCGCCAGCUAAGGUCCCAAAGUCAUAGUUAAGUGGGAAACGAUGUGGGAAGGCCCAGACAGCCAGGAUGUUGGCUUAGAAGCAGCCAUCAUUUAAAGAAAGCGUAAUAGCUCACUGGUCGAGUCGGCCUGCGCGGAAGAUGUAACGGGGCUAAACUAUGCACCGAAGCUGCGGCAGCGACACUAUGUGUUGUUGGGUAGGGGAGCGUUCUGUAAGCCUGUGAAGGUGUGUCGUGAGGCAUGCUGGAGGUAUCAGAAGUGCGAAUGCUGACAUAAGUAACGAUAAAGCGGGUGAAAAGCCCGCUCGCCGGAAGACCAAGGGUUCCUGUCCAACGUUAAUCGGGGCAGGGUGAGUCGACCCCUAAGGCGAGGCCGAAAGGCGUAGUCGAUGGGAAACGGGUUAAUAUUCCCGUACUUGGUGUUACUGCGAAGGGGGGACGGAGAAGGCUAUGUUGGCCGGGCGACGGUUGUCCCGGUUUAAGCGUGUAGGUGUGUGUUCCAGGUAAAUCCGGUU